This 275-nucleotide ribosomal RNA is filed under the name uncultured bacterium. RNAcentral's name for it is "partial 16S ribosomal RNA". It matches the Rfam family "Bacterial small subunit ribosomal RNA", at positions 399 to 691 of the family's 1533-position model. The record is from RNAcentral.
GCGUGAGUGAAGAAGGCCUUAGGGUUGUAAAACUCUUUCACCGGGGACGAUGAUGACGGUACCCGGAGAAGAAGCCCCGGCUAACUCCGUGCCAGCAGCCGCGGUAAUACGGAGGGGGCUAGCGUUGUUCGGAAUUACUGGGCGUAAAGCGCGCGUAGGCGGUUUGUUCAGUCAGGCGUGAAAGCCCCAGGCUCAACCUGGGAACUGCGCUUGAUACUAGCAGACUAGAGGCCGGGAGAGGGUAGUGGAAUUCCCAGUGUAGAGGUGAAAUUCGU